GAUGUAUACACCCAUGAAACCAUGCUGACAGUAAAAGUAAUGAAAGUGCUACUGUUUCCUACAGGCCUCCUCACGCUCCUGGAAACCCUGGCCAUCCAGGCAAUUAUAUCAGCUUUCUCUUGUUAGAGAUCCACUUUCACCUUCUCUGCCUUGCAAUGGAUAGCCUUGCUGGACUGUGCCCUCUCCCAUUAGAUUGUACCAGUGUAAACGUCCAGCAUGAAAUCUGGGUGAGGAAAUUGUGAGGAAAAAAC
Molecule: long non-coding RNA, 251 nt
Filed under: Mustela putorius furo (domestic ferret)
Lineage: Eukaryota; Metazoa; Chordata; Mammalia; Carnivora; Mustelidae
Description: lncRNA (ENSMPUG00000024826.1)
Source: RNAcentral